Molecule: long non-coding RNA, 210 nt
Filed under: Elaeis guineensis (African oil palm)
Lineage: Eukaryota; Viridiplantae; Streptophyta; Magnoliopsida; Arecales; Arecaceae
Description: long non-coding RNA (EGUI_LNC018320)
Source: RNAcentral
GUUGGAGAUUUCAAUGCACAUCCUUGGAUAAUAGAUGAUGGUUGUCGGAUAUGUCAUAACUAAGUUGAUAGCAUUGGAUGGGUGGCAAAGGAAAGGAGAUCAUAGCCGAAUCUUCAAUCCAACAUUGGAUCUGGUCUUGAAAUAUCAUUGAUAGGAAAGUCCUCUUAUUGGAGAAUGUAUGGUGGGGCUCUUCAAUGUCCAAGUCAAAUA